GACGAGCGCUUGCGACGUGCCUAAGAAAUGCAAGUCGAACGGGGUAGCAAUACCUAGUGGCGAACGGUCGCGUAACACGUGGGCAACCUGCCCUGAAGCGGGGGACAACAAGUCGAAAGAUUUGCUAAUACCGCAUGUGUCUCGCUGCGGCAUCGCAGAGGAGACAAAGCCGCAAGGCACUUCAGGAUGGGCCCGCGGCCUAUCAGCUUGUUGGUGAGGAACGGCCCACCAAGGCUUCGACGGGUAGCUGGUCUGAGAGGACGAUCAGCCGGAUUGGGACUGAGAUACGGCCCAGACUCCUACGGGGGGCAGCAAUUAGGAAUCUUGCACAAUGGGCGAAAGCCUGAUGCAGCGACGUCGCGUGAAGGAUGAAA
RNAcentral lists this ribosomal RNA (374 nucleotides) under uncultured bacterium. RNAcentral's name for it is "bacterial SSU rRNA". It matches the Rfam family "Bacterial small subunit ribosomal RNA", at positions 28 to 413 of the family's 1533-position model. The record is from RNAcentral.